AGACUCCCUGGAGUAAAAGACGUU
Molecule: non-coding RNA, 24 nt
Filed under: Arabidopsis thaliana (thale cress)
Lineage: Eukaryota; Viridiplantae; Streptophyta; Magnoliopsida; Brassicales; Brassicaceae
Source: RNAcentral